RNAcentral lists this ribosomal RNA (191 nucleotides) under Lachnospiraceae bacterium MD308. RNAcentral's name for it is "partial 23S ribosomal RNA". It matches the Rfam family "Bacterial large subunit ribosomal RNA", at positions 1 to 191 of the family's 2925-position model. The record is from RNAcentral. Lineage: Bacteria; Bacillati; Bacillota; Clostridia; Lachnospirales; Lachnospiraceae.
UGGUCAUGCAGAAAAGAGCAUAUGGUGGAUGCCUUGGCACUAAGAGCCGAUGAAAGACGUGAUAAGCUGCGAAAAGCUUCGGGGAGGAGCAAAUAUCCUACGAUCCGGAGAUAUCUGAAUGGGGAAACCCGGCGGAGAAGCCCUCCGUCAUCCUUAACCGAACACAUAAGUUAAGGAAGGGAACCCGGCGA